AGAGUUUGAUCAUGGCUCAGAGCGAACGCUGGCGGCGUGCUUAACACAUGCAAGUCGAGUGCGCGCCUGUAGCAAUACAGGUGGCGCACGGCGCACGGGUGCGUAACACGUGGGUAAUCUGCCCUUCGAUGGGGAAUAACUCCGGGAAACCGAAGCUAAUUCCGCAUAACAUUCCUUGAACUUCGGUUUGGGGAUUCAAAGCCGUAAGGCGUCGGAGGAGGAACCCGCGCACGAUUAGCUAGUUGGUAGGGUAACGGCCUACCAAGGCUUUGAUCGUUAGCUGGUCUGAGAGGAUGGCCAGCCACACUGGAACUGAGACACGGUCCAGACUCCUACGGGAGGCAGCAGUGGGGAAUCUUGCACAAUGGGCGAAAGCCUGAUGCAGCGACGCCGCGUGGGGGAUGAAGCUUUUCGGAGUGUAAACCCCUUUCGACCCGGACGAAUGCCCCGCAAGGGGACUGACGGUACGGGUAUAAGAAGCCCCGGCUAACUACGUGCCAGCAGCCGCGGUAAGACGUGGGGGGCCAGCGUUGCUCGGAAUUACUGGGUGUAAAGGGUUCGUAGGCGGUGUAGCAAGUCGGGAGUGAAAUCUCUGGGCUCAACCCAGAGACUGCUUCCGAAACUGCUGUGCUUGAGUGUGGGAGAGGCGCGUGGAAUUGCAGGUGUAGCGGUGAAAUGCGUAGAUAUCUGCAGGAACACCCGUGGCGAAAGCGGCGCGCUGGACCACUACUGACGCUGAGGAACGAAAGCUAGGGGAGCAAACAGGAUUAGAUACCCUGGUAGUCCUAGCCCUAAACGAUCAGGACUUGGGGUGCCGCACGUUCGUGCGUCGUCCCGGAGCUAACGCGUUAAGUCCUGCACCUGGGGAGUACGGUCGCAAGACUGAAACUCAAAGGAAUUGACGGGGGCCCCGCACAAGCGGUGGAACAUG
RNAcentral lists this ribosomal RNA (931 nucleotides) under uncultured bacterium. Its description in RNAcentral is "bacterial SSU rRNA". It matches the Rfam family "Bacterial small subunit ribosomal RNA", at positions 8 to 941 of the family's 1533-position model. The record is from RNAcentral.